Long non-coding RNA from Papio anubis (olive baboon), 2763 nucleotides. The record is from Ensembl. Lineage: Eukaryota; Metazoa; Chordata; Mammalia; Primates; Cercopithecidae.
AGACAACAAACUAGAUACAGACACAUAAACAGAUAGAGAAAUAGCCAGAUACAUAUACAGGCAAAGUGAGAAACAGAAGUUUUACAAAACAUAUUUACAGCUAGCUAGCUAUGUGACAGAUAAACUAAACAAAAGUUGCCCAAAACAACAUUUCUUCCAAAUGUGGGUGUUUAAAUCUGAUAUUUUCUAUUUUAUAAUAUUCCGCUUCAUUGUUUUAAAAUGCUAGUUGUACUCAGUUGAUUUCAUGAACCUCCAGCAGGUCGUGACCAUAGUGUGAAAACACUGGUAUUGAAACCCCUAGUGGUACUCAGUUGAUUUCAUGAAUCUCCAGCAGGUCAUGACCAUAGUGUGAAAACACUGGUGUUGAAACCCUAACCAAGAGUGCACAGCCAGUGUGCAGCAGAAUGAGCCUCCAGUCACCAGCCCAGAGCUCUCAGACAGAAUUGAGUUCCCAUACAGUAGGACUUUCCACUCAUGUCUGCGGUCUAGGAGGAGAUUGGGUUGAGCAGCCACCAGGCACGAUGGAGCAACAAUUAACCCUGGAGUUGUGGAGGCAGGACCACAAGCCGAGAGAGGGCAGCAGUGGAAACCCAGCCAAACUAUUAAUGGAAGGCUGGGUCCCAUUCUUUAUUAUCCUUCUGUGGUCUCAUCACCAGCGGGGUGAGCCAAAGCCGAGGGCAAGAACACGCUGGGUGACCUUCCACACCCCAAAUGCAAGAUCAAGUGCUGUGGAGAAGGUGUGGCAAAAAGGAGAAAAUGUGGCACAUAUACACCAUGGAAUACUAUGCAGCCAUAAAAAAGGAUGAGUUUGUGUCCUUUGUAGGGACAUGGAUGCAGCUGGAAACCAUCAUUCUUAGCAAACUAUCACAAGAACAGAAAACGAAACACCGCAUGUUCUCACUCAUAGGUGGGAACUGAACAAUGAGAUCAUUCGGACUCGGGAAGGGGAACAUCACACACCGGGGCCUAUCAUGGGGAGGGGGGAGAGGGGAGGAAUUGCAUUGGGAGUUAUACCUGAUGUAAAUGACGAGUUGAUGGGUGCUGACGAGUUGAUGGGUGCAGCACACCAACAUGGCACAAGUAUACAUAUGUAACAAACCUGCACGUUAUGCACAUGUACCCUAGAACUUAAAGUAUAAUAAAAAUAAAAAAUAAAUAAAUAAAUAAAUAAAUAAAUAAAAAGAAAUACUAAAAAAAAAAAACAGUAGUUAAAAUCUACUCAUUUAGCAUGAAUCCCAAAACCAACACAAUUUUAUUACCUAUAUUCCUUAUGUUGUACAUUAGAUAUCUAGACUUGUUCAUCCUACACAUCUGCUACUUUGUAUCCUCUGACCUACAUCUCUCCAUUUCCUCCCCAUCAUCCCCUCCCACCUCGACUCCUGGUAACCACUGUUUUGUUCUCCAUCUCUGUAUAUUCGAUUUUUCUUUUUUUGAUUUCACAUAUGAGUGAGAUCAUGCAUUCUUCUAUUUUUUUUCAAUGUCUGGCUUAUUUCAUUUAGAAUAAUGUCCUCCAGGCUGAUCUAUGUUGGGGAAAAUGGCAAGAUCUCAUUUCUGUUAUUUAUUUGUUUUUAAGGCUGAAUGGUACACCAUUUUAUAUGUGCACACACACACGUGUGUGUGUAUAUAAAUAUAUAGAUAGAUACGUAUAUACAUACAUACACACAUAAAAUAGUUUCUUUAUCCAUUCAUCUGUUGACAAACCGGUUGUUUCCAUAACUUGCCUAUUGUUAAUAAAGCUACAAUAAACAUGGGAGUGCAGGUAUCUUUACCUUUGGAAGGUGGUCAUUUUGUAACCUUUUGCUUUAUGCCUGGAAGAGUAGUAGCUGGACCAAAGGGCAUUUCCAUUGUUAAUUUCAUUAGAAACCUCCAUACUGUUUUCCAUAAUGGCUAAACUUAUCUACACUUUCACCAACAGUCUACAAGAAUUUGUUUCCUUUUCUCUCACACUUUCUCCAACAUUUGUUAUCUUUUGAAAUUUGAUAAUAGUCAGUAAUCCUAAUGCAUGUGAAGUUGUAUCUUGUAGUGGCUUUGAUGUACAUUUCCCUAAUGAUUAAUGAUGUUCAGCACUUCUUAAUUUAUCUAUUGUUCAUUUUUAUGCUUUCUUUAGAGAAAUGUCUAUUCAGGUCUUUUACCCAUUUUUUUUUAAAUUGGGUUAUUUGGCUUUCUACUAUUGAGUUGUAUGAUAUUAACCUCUUAUCAGAUACAUGGUUUGCAAAUAUUAUUUUUUGACAUGUAGUUUGCCAUUUCAUUUUUUUUUUUCUGUGCAGAAGCUUUUAGCCUGUUAUAGUCCCAUUUAUUUAUUUUUGCUCUUACGGCCUGAGCUUUUAGUGUGAUAUCCAAAAAAAUCAUUGCCAAGGACAAUGUCUAAGAGCUUUCCCCUUAUGUUCUAGUCUAGAAAUUUAAUAGUUUCUGGUCUUAGCUUUGAGUCUUUCAUCCAUGGUGUAAACUAAGGGUCUAAUUUUAUUCUUUUGCAUGUGAAAACACAGUUUUUCCUAGCACAAUUCAUUGAAGAGACUGCUCUUUUCUCAUUAUGUCCUGUCGGUGCCUUUGUCAAAAAUUAGUUGACCAUAUGUGUUUGGGUUUAUUUCUGGGCUCUGUAUUCUAUUCCUUUGGUCUAUGUGUUUGUUUCCAUGCCAGUAACAUACUUUUUUUGUUUAGUAUAGCUUUGUAAUAUAGUUUUAAAUAAAAAAUAAAAUGCUUCCAACUUUUUUUUCCUCAGAGUUGAAACAUAAUAUUUCUGGAGGCUGGAAGUCUGAGAUCCAC